UACAUGCAGUGUGAACAGAAAGUAGUAACUACAGAGCUGACAGGCAGGCAGUAUUGAUCCCAGUAAAAAGCAGACUUUCACAGAUGAUAAAUACUGGAUAAUAGUAGUGCUAUAAAGCAACCAUAGAAAAGAUCAUAAGAACUCUAUUAUUUCUUUGAAAAUGGCUCUACUCGGAAACCUUGCAGCCUCUGAAAAAUCCCUACUUGCUGUGCCAGAAAUGAUAAGUGCUACAACCACAGGGAGGAGAUGCACACACUUGGCCGGAAGAAGAGUCUGAUGACGCAAAAUUAGUUGCCAUCUAGUGGUGUGCACCUGCGUCCUGAGAGCGGCCGCUCUCACUCCCCACUUUUUGGAACUGCAGUUUCAUUGUUUGCUGUUUAUUCAAAUGGAAUAAACGUUCUUCGCUAUUGGAUCUCCUGGAUGGAGGAGAGAAAUUGAAUUCAAGCUGUGAUGGAUCUGUCAAGCAGCUGACAUCAGCGGUGCCCAACAGACCCCAAUGGUUUAUAAUGGGGCCCUUCAGUUUCUGUCAUAGUGUCCCUUGUUUUCAUGCGAAGACUUUCACUUCAUGCUGCACUAUUCUUCCAGUCCGAUUCAACAGAAUCAAAUCUGUAACAGAGUCUCAGAAUGGAGCCGCCAACGCAGAUUUGAUCAGAGCUUUAAUCUUAUAACCUGAUAUCAUUUUGUAUUGUUGGUUUUCUUUAUGUUUUGCAGAGUAUGUUGUUUGCUACAACGAUAAAAUACAAGAACAGCUCAAAUAGGAACAUAAUAAAUAAAAUCAUAGGACCUAGAAACAUUUACGUGCAUUUUCAGUUUUCCACCCUGACUCUAAAUCUGUUAUAAGCAGAAAAUAAGUAAAUUCUUCAUGUACCGGUGGCAGAGAAACGCCCGCUGCCUUGAACGCAAGGGAGCCAAUUACUGUGCCAUUUCCACGGGUGGUCGAGAAAGAAUUUUACAUGCUUUUUCCUUGAAACUCACAAGGUUCUGCUACCUAAACAGCUUCCAUUUUUCAAAGUGAACAUUUUAUGAUGUAGUCUACAAAUGCUAUAAUUCUAAG
Hyla sarda is the source of this 1054-nucleotide long non-coding RNA. RefSeq lists it as uncharacterized. The record is from RefSeq and is a predicted model, not a curated record. The transcript has 3 exons. NCBI's taxonomy places the organism in Eukaryota, Metazoa, Chordata, Amphibia, Anura, Hylidae.